UGAGGAAUAUUGCGCAAUGGGCGAAAGCCUGACGCAGCGACACCGCGUGAAGGAUGAAGGCUUUAGGGUCGUAAACUUCUGUUAAGUGGAAAGAAAAAGGUAGUUAUAAUACAGCUACGUAAUGACGGUACCACUAGAGAAAGCACCGGCUAACUUCGUGCCAGCAGCCGCGGUAAGACGAGGGGUGCAAACGUUAUUCGGAAUGAUUGGGUGUAAAGGGUGCGUAGGCGGUAUGCUAAGUCAAUCGUUAAAUUUUUCGGCUUAACCGAAAGUGAGCGGUAGAAACUGGUGUACUUGAGAAUGAGAGAGAGAAGUAGAAUUCUUGGAGUAGCGGUAAAAUGCGUAGAUCUCAAGAGGAAUACCAAUGGCGAAGGCAGCUUCUUGGCUCAUUUCUGACGCUGAGGCACGAGAGCGUGGGGAGCAAACAGG
RNAcentral lists this ribosomal RNA (429 nucleotides) under uncultured bacterium. RNAcentral describes it as "bacterial SSU rRNA". It matches the Rfam family "Bacterial small subunit ribosomal RNA", at positions 355 to 776 of the family's 1533-position model. The record is from RNAcentral.